RNAcentral lists this ribosomal RNA (248 nucleotides) under uncultured fungus. Its description in RNAcentral is "5.8S ribosomal RNA". The stretch from base 92 to 245 matches the Rfam family "5.8S ribosomal RNA". Rfam says of the family: 5.8S ribosomal RNA (5.8S rRNA) is a component of the large subunit of the eukaryotic ribosome. It is transcribed by RNA polymerase I as part of the 45S precursor that also contains 18S and 28S rRNA. Lineage: Eukaryota; Fungi. The record is from RNAcentral.
AAGUCAGCUUCACCUUGUAUUUUCUAGGUCUAUGUUCACACAUUUUCACAAUGUCAUAGAAUGUAUUGAGUAAUGGAAAUAACAAAUAUACAACUUUCAGCAACGGAUCUCUUGGCUCUCGCAUCGAUGAAGAACGCAGCGAAAUGCGAUAAGUAAUGUGAAUUGCAGAAUUCAGUGAAUCAUCGAAUCUUUGAACGCAUCUUGCGCUCCUUGGUAUUCCGAGGAGCAUGCCUGUUUGAGUGUCAUCA